UACGUAGGGGGCAAGCGUUGUCCGGAAUCAUUGGGCGUAAAGCGCGUGUAGGCGGCCAGAAAAGUCCGCUGUGAAAACUCGAGGCUCAACUUCGAGCUGUCGGUGGAAACUUUCUGGCUAGAGUCCGGGAGAGGUGAGUGGAACUGCGAGUGUAGAGGUGAAAUUCGUAGAUAUUCGCAAGAACACCAGUGGCGAAGGCGGCUCACUGGCCCGGUACUGACGCUGAGGUGCGAAAGCGUGGGGAGCAAACAGG
This 253-nucleotide ribosomal RNA is filed under the name uncultured bacterium. RNAcentral describes it as "partial 16S ribosomal RNA". It matches the Rfam family "Bacterial small subunit ribosomal RNA", at positions 524 to 776 of the family's 1533-position model. The record is from RNAcentral.